RNAcentral lists this ribosomal RNA (257 nucleotides) under uncultured bacterium. Its description in RNAcentral is "partial 16S ribosomal RNA". It matches the Rfam family "Bacterial small subunit ribosomal RNA", at positions 793 to 1055 of the family's 1533-position model. The record is from RNAcentral.
GUCCACGCUGUAAACGAUGAUUACUCGUUUUCGGCGAUAUACAGUCGGAGACUAAGCGAAAGUGAUAAGUAAUCCACCUGGGGAGUACGAUCGCAAGGUUGAAACUCAAAGGAAUUGACGGGGGCCCGCACAAGCGGUGGAGCAUGUGGUUUAAUUCGAUGAUACGCGAGGAACCUUACCAGGGCUUAAAUGCAAGUUGAAUGAUGUGGAAACAUGUCAGUCUUCGGACAAUUUGCAAGGUGCUGCAUGGCUGUCGU